RNAcentral lists this long non-coding RNA (5254 nucleotides) under Homo sapiens (human). RNAcentral describes it as "non-protein coding lnc-INPP5A-1:1". Lineage: Eukaryota; Metazoa; Chordata; Mammalia; Primates; Hominidae. The record is from RNAcentral.
UUGGUUCCUGGCUCACGAAGUAAAUAUGUGCAUUUUAUCAAAUGCUUUUCCCCUGCGCUGACUGAAAUGCUUGCACUGUUCCUCUAGGACAUCUGUACGUUUUAAGGUUAAACUGGGGCCCGGCACGUGGCUUAUGCCUGUAAUCCCAGUGUUUUGGGAGGCCGAGGAGGGAGGAUCGCUUGAGCCCAGGAGGUGGAGGCUGCAGUGAGCUGUGAUUGUGCCACUGGACUCCAGCCUGGGUGACAGAGCGAGACCGUCAGGAAGUGGGGAGGAAGGGAAGAGAAAAGCUGAACUGAGUGAUGGCAGCUUAUCUUUUUAUGUAUUUUUUGUGCUGUUCUGGGGCAGUCUGGGAGGAGGUAGGCUGGCCUAGGGAAUGAUGUGUGCUUUGUGUGUGCUGAUGUGUGCUGUGUGUGUGCUGAUGUGUGCUGUGUGAGUGCUGAUGUGUGCUGUCUGUGCGCUGAUGUGUGCUGUGUGUGCUGUGUGAGUGCUGAUGUGUGCUGUGUGCUGUGUGUGUGCUGAUGUGUGCUGUGUGUGUGCUGUGUGAGCGCUGAUGUGUGCUGUGUGAGUGCUGAUGUGUGCUGUGUGUGCUGUGUGUUGUGUGUGCUGUGUGAGUGCUGAUGUGUGCUGUGUGCUGAUGUGUGCUGUGUGUGCUGUGUGCUGUGUGUGCACUGAUGUGUGCUGUGUGUGUGCUGUGUGCUGUGUGAGCGCUGAUGUGUGCUGUGUGAGUGCUGAUGUGUGCUGUGUGUGCUGAUGUGUGUUGUGUGUGCUGUGUGAGUGCUGAUGUGUGCUGUGUGCGCUGUGUGCUGUGUGCUGAUGUGUGCUGAUGUGUGCUGUGUGCUGACGUGUGCUGUGUGUGCGCUGAUGUGUGCUGUGUGUGUGCUGUGUGCUGUGUGUGCGCUGAUGUGUGCUGUGUGUGUGCUGUGUGCUGUGUGAGUGCUGAUGUGUGCUGUGUGUGCUGUGUGUGCUGAUGUGUGCUGUGUGCUGAUGUGUGCUGACGUGUGCUGUGUGCUGACGUGUGCUGUGUGUGCGCUGAUGUGUGCUGUGUGUGUGCUGUGUGCUGUGUGAGUGCUGAUGUGUGCUGUGUGUUGUGUGAGUGCUGAUGUGUGCUGUCUGUGCGCUGUGUGCUGUGUGAGCGCUGAUGUGUGCUGUGUGUGCUGUGUGCUGUGUGUGCAGUGAUGUGUGUUGUGUGAGUGCUGAUGUGUGCUGUGUGUGCGCUGAUGUGUGCUGUGUGUGCGCUUGUGUGUGCUGUGUGUGCGCUGAUGUGUGCUGUGUGUGCGCUUGUGUGUGCUGUGUGUGCUGAUGUGUGCUGUGUGAGUGCUGAUGUGUGCUGAUGUGUGCUGUGUGUGCUGAUGUGUGCUGUGUGUGCAGUGAUGUGUGCUGUGUGAGUGCUGAUGUGUGCUGUGUGUGCACUUGUGUGUGCUGUGUGUGUGCUGAUGUGUGCUGUGUGCUGUGUGUGCUGAUGUGUGCUGAUGUGUGCACUGUGUGCUGUGUGUGUGCUGAUGUGUGCUGUGUGCGGUGAUGUGUGCUGUGUGUGCGCUGAUGUGUGCUGUGUGUGUGCUGUGUGAGUGCUGGUGUGCUGAUGUGUGCACUGUGUGCUGUGUGUGUGGUGAUGUGUGCUGUGUGUGUGGUGAUGUGUGCUGUGUGUGCAGUGAUGUGUGCUGUGUGUGUGCUGAUGUGUGCUGAUGUGUGCACUGUAUGCUGUGUGUGUGGUGAUGUGUGCUGUGUGUGCAGUGAUGUGUGCUGUGUGAGUGCUGAUGUGUGCUGUGUGUGCUGUGUGUGCUGAUGUGUGCUGUGUGCUGAUGUGUGCUGACGUGUGCUGUGUGCUGACGUGUGCUGUGUGUGCGCUGAUGUGUGCUGUGUGUGUGCUGUGUGCUGUGUGAGUGCUGAUGUGUGCUGUGUGUUGUGUGAGUGCUGAUGUGUGCUGUCUGUGCGCUGAUGUGUGCUGUGUGUGCGCUUGUGUGUGCUGUGUGUGCUGAUGUGUGCUGUGUGAGUGCUGAUGUGUGCUGAUGUGUGCUGUGUGUGCAGUGAUGUGUGCUGUGUGAGUGCUGAUGUGUGCUGUGUGUGCACUUGUGUGUGCUGUGUGUGUGCUGAUGUGUGCUGUGUGCUGUGUGUGCUGAUGUGUGCUGAUGUGUGCACUGUGUGCUGUGUGCGGUGAUGUGUGCUGUGUGUGCGCUGAUGUGUGCUGAUGUGUGCUGUGUGAGUGCUGAUGUGUGCUGAUGUGUGCACUGUGUGCUGUGUGUGUGGUGAUGUGUGCUGUGUGUGCAGUGAUGUGUGCUGUGUGUGUGCUGAUGUGUGCUGUGUGUGCUGUGUGCUGUGUGUGCGCUGAUGUGUGCUGUGUGCUGUGAGUGCUGAUGUGUGCUGUGUGUGCUGAUGUGUGCUUUGUAUGUGCUGAUGUGUGCUGUGUGUGUGCUGAUGUGUGCUCUGUGUGCUGAUGUGUGCUGUGUGAGUGAUGUGUGCUGUCUGUGCGCUGUGUGCUGAUGUGUGCUGUGUGUGUGCUGAUGUGUGCUGUGUGUGUGCUGUGUGCUGUGUGAGCGCUGAUGUGUGCUGUGUGAGUGCUGAUGUGUGCUGUGUGUGCUGUGUGUUGUGUGUGCUGUGUGAGUGCUGAUGUGUGCGGUGUGCUGAUGUGUGCUGUGUGUGCUGAGUGCUGAUGUGUGCUGUGUGCUGUGUGUGCACUGAUGUGUGCUGUGUGUGUGCUGUGUGCUGUGUGAGUGCUGAUGUGUGCUGUGUGUGCUGAUGUGUGUUGUGUGUGCUGUGUGAGUGCUGAUGUGUGCUGUGUGCUGAUGUGUGCUGUGUGCUGAUGUGUGCUGUGUGUGCUGUGUGCGCUGUGUGCUGUGUGCUGAUGUGUGCUGAUGUGUGCUGUGUGCUGACGUGUGCUGUGUGUGCGCUGAUGUGUGCUGUGUGUGUGCUGUGUGCUGUGUGAGUGCUGAUGUGUGCUGUGUGUGCUGUGUGCGCUGAUGUGUGCUGUGUGCUGAUGUGUGCUGAUGUGUGCUGUGUGCUGACGUGUGCUGUGUGCUGAUGUGUGCUGUGUGCGCUGAUGUGUGCUGUGUGUGUGCUGUGUGCUGUGUGUGCACUGAUGUGUGCUGUGUGUGUGCUGUGUGCUGUGUGAGUGCUGAUGUGUGCUGUAUGUUGUGUGAGUGCUGAUGUGUGCUGUCUGUGCGCUGAUGUGCGCUGUCUGUGCGCUGUGUGCUGUGUGAGCGCUGAUGUGUGUGUGUGCUGAUGUGUGCUGUGUGUGCAGUGAUGUGUGCUGUGUGAGUGCUAAUGUGUGCUGUGUGUGCUGCUUGUUUGUGCUGUGUGUGUGCUGUGUGCUGUGUGAGUGCUGAUGUGUGCUGAUGUGUGCUGUGUGUGCUGAUGUGUGCUGAUGUGUGCACUGUGUGCUGUGUGUGCGGUGAUGUGUGCUGUGUGCGCUGAUGUGUGCUGUGUGUGUGCUGAUGUGUGCUGUGUGUGUGCUGUGUGCUGUGUGAGCGCUGAUGUGUGCUGUGUGAGUGCUGAUGUGUGCUGUGUGUGCUGUGUGUUGUGUGUGCUGUGUGAGUGCUGAUGUGUGCUGUGUGCUGAUGUGUGCUGUGUGUGCUGAGUGCUGAUGUGUGCUGUGUGCUGUGUGUGCACUGAUGUGUGCUGUGUGUGUGCUGUGUGCUGUGUGAGCGCUGAUGUGUGCUGUGUGAGUGCUGAUGUGUGCUGUGUGUGCUGAUGUGUGUUUUGUGUGCUGUGUGAGUGCUGAUGUGUGCUGUGUGCUGAUGUGUGCUGUGUGCUGAUGUGUGCUGUGUGUGCUGUGUGCGCUGUGUGCUGUGUGCUGAUGUGUGCUGAUGUGUGCUGUGUGCUGACGUGUGCUGUGUGUGCGCUGAUGUGUGCUGUGUGUGUGCUGUGUGCUGUGUGAGUGCUGAUGUGUGCUGUGUGUGCUGUGUGCGCUGAUGUGUGCUGUGUGCUGAUGUGUGCUGAUGUGUGCUGUGUGCUGACGUGUGCUGUGUGCUGAUGUGUGCUGUGUGUGCGCUGAUGUGUGCUGUGUGUGUACUGAUGUGUGCUGUGUGUGUGCUGUGUGCUGUGUGAGUGCUGAUGUGUGCUGUAUGUUGUGUGAGUGCUGAUGUGUGCUGUCUGUGCGCUGAUGUGUGCUGUCUGUGCGCUGUGUGCUGUGUGAGCAUGUGUGCUGUGUGUGUGCCCUGAUGUGUGCUGUGUGAGUGCUGAUGUGUGCUGUGUGUGUGCUGAUGUGUGCUGUGUGUACUGAUGUGUGCCGUGUGCACUGAUGUGUGCUGUGUGUGUCCACCGCGCUGUGGGCUCAGAACCCACUGGGAGGGUGGAGCUCAUGUUAGCAUUUCUUACCAUCUACAGACACGCAAUAUAAAGGGGCAGGAGGAGCCUUUGGGAGGCGAUGAACACGUGCAUGGCCUGAUCACGAUAAUGUCUUCGUGGACACACUCAUCCACAAACUCACUGAGUGGUCUAUGUUAGGCAUGUACAGCUUCUUACAUGCCGGUCACACCUCAACAAAGUGGCUUAGAAAACAUGCUAAAAGCACCAGCUAUUAAGAAAAAGAUUGAUAAAUUAGACUAUAAUAACAUUAAAAUAUUUUGUUCAUCAAAAGACCCAUUUAAGAGAGUGAAAAGAACUGGUACAGAGAAGACAUUUGUCAUUCAUAUAAACAAUAAAAAUUAUAUCCAAAGUAUACCAGGAAAAUCCAACAAACCUCAAAGAACAAAACCCAGAUAACCCCACAGAAGAACCGGUGAGAGACAAAACAGGCUCUUCACAAACAGCUGGUUGGUGAAAAGCCGAAAGGGCUGGGACUCCCGGGCACACCAGGACAUGCAGACAGACAGGGUGUCUGGUAACGGGGGGUGGGGCAGAUAAAUUGUGGUGGGUGGAACACGGCCGGCCACAGAGACCAGCCACGGAGCCAGGCAGGAACCAGAGCCACAGAGACCAGCCACGGAGCCAGGCAGGAGCCGGAGCCAUGGAGCCAGGCAGGAGCCGUAGCCACAGAGACCAGCCACGGAGCCAGGCAGGAGCCGGAGCCACAGAGACCAGCCACGGAGCCAGGCAGGAGCCGGAGCCACAGAGACCAGCCACGGAGCCAGGCAGGAGCCGGAGCCACGGAGACCAGCCACGGAGCCAGGCAGGAGCCGGAGCCACGGAGACCAGCCACGGAGCCAGGCAGGAGCCGGAGCCACGGAGACCAGCCACGGAGCCAGGCAGGAGCCGGAGCCGCAGAGACCCACCACAGAGCCAGGCAGGAGUCGGAGCCACGGAGCCAGGCAGGAACUGG